This 445-nucleotide ribosomal RNA is filed under the name uncultured Pelotomaculum sp. RNAcentral's name for it is "bacterial SSU rRNA". It matches the Rfam family "Bacterial small subunit ribosomal RNA", at positions 940 to 1382 of the family's 1533-position model. The record is from RNAcentral. Lineage: Bacteria; Bacillati; Bacillota; Clostridia; Eubacteriales; Desulfotomaculaceae.
UGUGGUUUAAUUCGACGCAACGCGAAGAACCUUACCAGGGCUUGACACUCCCUGACCGCGUAUGAAAGUACGUUUUCACCCUCGGGUGACAGGGAGACAGGUGGUGCAUGGUUGUCGUCAGCUCGUGUCGUGAGAUGUUGGGUUAAGUCCCGCAACGAGCGCAACCCCUACGUUUAGUUGCUAACGCGUGAAGGCGAGCACUCUAGACGAACUGCCGUUGACAAAACGGAGGAAGGUGGGGAUGACGUCAAAUCAUCAUGCCCCUUAUGUUCUGGGCUACACACGUGCUACAAUGGCCGGUACAGACGGACGCAAAGCCGCGAGGUGGAGCAAAUCCUAAAAAGCCGGUCUCAGUUCGGAUUGCAGGCUGCAAUUCGCCUGCAUGAAGUCGGAAUCGCUAGUAAUCGCAGGUCAGCAUACUGCGGUGAAUACGUUCCCGGGCCUU